RNAcentral lists this ribosomal RNA (622 nucleotides) under uncultured bacterium. RNAcentral describes it as "bacterial SSU rRNA". It matches the Rfam family "Bacterial small subunit ribosomal RNA", at positions 338 to 953 of the family's 1533-position model. The record is from RNAcentral.
CCUACGGGAGGCAGCAGUAGGGAAUCUUCCACAAUGGGCGAAAGCCUGAUGGAGCAACGCCGCGUGAGUGAUGAAGGCCUUCGGGUUGUAAAACUCUGUCAUUCGGGACGAACCGGAGUCUGAGGAAAUGCAGACUCUCUGACGGUACCGGAGGAGGAAGCCCCGGCUAACUACGUGCCAGCAGCCGCGGUAAUACGUAGGGGGCAAGCGUUGUCCGGAUUCACUGGGCGUAAAGCGCGCGCAGGCGGUGAUGUAAGUCUGAGGUGAAAACCCGAAGCUCAACUUCGGGACUGCCUUGGAUACUGCGUCACUUGAGGAUAGGAGAGGCAAGGGGAAUUCCACGUGUAGCGGUGAAAUGCGUAGAGAUGUGGAGGAACACCUGUGGCGAAGGCGCCUUGCUGGCCUAUUUCUGACGCUGAGGCGCGAAAGCGUGGGGAGCAAACAGGAUUAGAUACCCUGGUAGUCCACGCUGUAAACGAUGAGUGCUAGGUGUAGGUGGGCUCAUACCCAUCUGUGCCGAAGCUAACGCAUUAAGCACUCCGCCUUGGGGAGUUACGGUUCGCAAGACUUGAAACUUAAGGAAUUGACGGCUUGAGACGNGACGAGCACGACGGAGGAGAGG